CUGUAACGUGAGGAACAACAGCCUGUACUAUAGCAUGCUGUGAUGAUAUCAACCAGCUGUCAUCAUGGCUUCUGAUUUACCAACAUCAGUUUUUGAAAGUUCCUCAUCAGAGUCAGAGAUCAAAAUUGUUCUUCUAGGCGAUACAAGAGUUGACAAGAGUGACAUAGCCAAAUUAAUUCUGGGCUGCAAGACUCUGAAAGGAGAAGAAAUUGGGCUGUGUACUUUAUAUAAGAGUGAAGAAACAGAAAGAAAGAUCAGUGUUGUGGACACACCAGGAUGGAGUCCAAUUUCAAUCGAACAAACAGCAGAGAAUAUAAAAACAGAGAUUGUCAGAUGUGUGUCUCUUUGUCCUCCAGGCCCUGAUGUUCUUCUUCUGGUGAUACCUGUGAAACAAGAACCUUCACCGUAUGAGAUGACAGAAGCACAGAAGCACAUGGAGUUGUUAUCAGAGCGAGUCUGGAAACACACUAUUGUGCUGUUUGAUUGUGAGGAAGAGAUUGAGGAUUCUGUCAUCAACGAACACAUUCAAAGUGCACAGACAAUCCUAGAAAAGUGUAAACGGUUAUGUGUUUAUCGUAGGGGUUUCAAUCAAAUGACAAAUCUCUUUAAUGAAAUAGACGAUCUGGUGAAGAAAAAUGAAGGAGAAUUCUCUAUGGCACAAAUUUAUUAUGAAGAGAUUCAGCCUGAAACUCAAGUGUUUGAUAAGGGAGAGCUCAGACAAAGACGUGGAAGUAAAGAGAUGGACCUUCCUAACCUAAGAAAACGAUUUGACAUGGAGGAAAAGAAAAAAUCUUUCUGUGCUGCCAACCAUGGAGUUUUGAAUGAUCGGACCAUCAAACCUUUCUCAGUGAUAUUGAUGGCUAUAAUUGGAGCUUUGAUUUUUUGCAGGAUCUGAAGAUGGUGCUUUAGGUUUUACUUGCAGUUUGACCAUUUGCAUUUGCACUUACAUUUAUUUAUACUCUUAGUCAAAACCACAUAGUGAUAGUUCGCCGUAACCAGCUUAGUCUCCCAUAAGGAGUGGUAAGGGUUUAAGCAGUUCAAACAAUAGAGAGAAAAGCUUUUUUCCCCCAGAAAUAUUUUUGUCAUUUUAUAACAUCUUGUUAGGUCUGUUUUUUUAACACAUUUUUUUCUCAUUUUACUUACAUUGAACGGGUAAGUCCAAGGAGGCUUCCAUGUCGUUCAGCCAUAUGAAUGAGUAAGGGAUAAUGUAGACGCAGCCGGUAGUUAUCGGGAAAUAAGCCCCGACAGUGUGAUCAGGAUCUGACGCGAAGCGGAGGGUCUUGUAUCACACUGAAGGGGCUUAUUUCCCGAUAACUACCGGCUGCCUCUACAUUAUCCCGCUUAUUACACGGCUACUUGUCACAUAAGAAAAAAAACUGGACGUGAAUAUGAAUUUGAAACAUUUUAUUGGCAUAUUUGUUUUAAAUUAACAUUUUUAUCCUUCCGCGAAACUUUGCACAGAUGCAUAAAAUGAUCGUAAUACCUUAUUAAGAUCCUCUGCUUCAUACUUGUCUGUCUCCAUUUUUUCUCUUUUAGCCAGUCUUUGAGAAGUUUUAAUGCCCAUUCUGUAUUUUUUUGUGUGUUGGCUUCGUAGCUGUCAUGCUCUUUUUUGUCAAGUUCAGUCUCAGUAAGCUGUCUGUGUCUUGUCGUGGUUGUCCAGUGUCACAAAAUGCCGCCAAACAGUAAUCUUUAUUGAUCUUUAUUGGCGCGGAGCGAUUUUACUCGUACAAGUAGUACCGGCUAUGCGUUAUUACUUUGGAGCAGUUAUUAUUUGAAAAGAACGAACCUGCAAAUGUCUCAACUGACCAAUCAGAAUCAAGCAUUCCAGAGAGCCGUGUAAUAAACUAUAAUAACAGAGAGGGACAAAAAGCACUAGCCUACCAACGCGUUUCCACAACGCGUUUUUGUCACAAGGUGACGAUCUUUUCAGGGGCGGAACCAAAGUAGGGAAAAAGUUGGUUCCGCCCGGAAGUGUUUCCACCCGGACCGGAAAAGAUGGACACCGGAACUUCCGGUAGCGCCGCGGGAGGAGAAAUCAACAAAUCAAGCGCAGCUGUGUGUAGUUAACAAGAGCGGCUGGUGAUUGGAGGACACGCUGAACAAGGCAGUAUUUAAGACCAGCUUAAAUCACAGUUUGGGUGUUGUUGUGUGCAGUGUUGAAGUGCUGCGUUGUAUCCGUCUGGUACGCUGGUUGUGGGCUGUUAAUCUCUCUCUCUCAGGCUGAAGCUUAUAUGGCUGUGUGGACUUUGUGAACCUUAUUGGUUGAAGGAAGAACGGAAGCGUUGGAAACUGAAACACAACAAAGGAGAGGAAACGGAGUAUAGCGGAUACCUCCUAAGGAAGGAGGGCGGCCCUACCCCUAAGAUAGUGUGGUGGGUGAGCCGAAGGAAAAUUGGCUGAAGCUAGUCACAGCGACGAAACUACCGACUAGACCGUAUUAUCCAUCGCCGAACAGACCUCGGCGAAGUGGAGGAAGACGGGCGUCCUAUGUGUACACUUGAGUGUAGUGGGUGAGUCUUUGUGCUGUGGAAACUUUCACUUUGACGUGGUGCUGUGUAUUGCUGUGUAUUGCUGUGUGUCUCGUCAGACAAACCCCCGCCUUCACACACCUCGUCGAGGGAGGACGAAGAGGCUGCCGGUUCUAGUGAAUCCAGUCAAAUAUAUGUUGUGAAUACGCUUCAGGCCUAUAGUAACGGUGUGGUGCCCCGGAACGAUUUCCCGUCUUGACAUUUGGGUGGAUUAAAAUGUGGCGGUGAAGAGCUGGAGGAUUUGCGGAUGUGUGAGUACGACCAGGGGUCACUGUUGUUGAUGCCUUCAUCUGUGUAAUACUUACCGUUGCAGAGAGAGAGGUGUAGUAAAUCCCGCCUGUCCCGAGGUCUCUACAAAGGGGCGCCCCUGUCCGGUGUUCGACCGCCCAACUGGUAGCGAGGAGAGGGCAGCGCUCGGCCCGGUAAAACAGUGCGACGUGUUCACCCCUCUGCAUCCACCGAGCUCGUCGAGAGGGUUCGCCCCCGACGCUACAUUGGAACUGCUUGCUCCGUCGUAAGUCCGCCACCCUGUUUAAUCCGAAUCAAUCUAUCUAAGUCAUCUGAUUGACAGGAACAGAGAACGUGCUGUACAGAAUUGGAACGUGUGGAGCACCACGAGAGGAACAACCAUUGUCCACCCCGUACUUAUUGUACGUUGUAUCCAGUGGAGAGGUGAGAAUAAACCAGUCCAGAGUAAUUGUGUUUUGUGUCCCCGCCAUUACCUGUAGAGAGGAAGAGAGAGAGAGAGUGAGCGACACCAAGGGAAGCUGUGUGCAGCCCGUACGUACCAUACGUUGAAUCCAGCGGAGAGUUGAGAACAGACCAAGUCCAAAUAACUGUGUCUCUGUGUCCCAGCUACUGCCUGUGGAGAAAGAGAGAGCGAGAGUGAGCGACACGAGAAGAAGUCGUGUGCAUCCCGUACUUACGUACCGUACGUUGAAUCCAGCGGAGAGGUGAGAACAGGCCAAGUCCAAAUAACUGUGUCUCUGUGUCCCAGCUGCUGCCUGUGGAGAGAGAGAGAGAGAGAGAGAGAGUGAACGACACGAGUAGAAACUGUGUUCACCCCGUGCUUACUGUACGUCAUAUCCAGCGGAGAGGUGAGAACAGACAAGUCCAAAUAACUGUGUCUCUGUGUCCCAGCUGCUGCCUGUGGAGAAAGAGAGAGAGAGAGAGAGUGAACAACACGAGUAGAAACUGUGCUCACCCCGUGCUUACUGUACGUCGUAUCCAGCAGAGAGGUGAGAACAUACCAGUCCCAGCUAACUGUGUCCUUGUGUCCAGCCUGUAGUCGGCGGAGCAAGGAAGAGGAGAUCGCCGCCUGUGGAGAAAGAGAGAGAGAGAGAGAGAGAGAGAGAGAGAGAGAGAGAGAGAGAGAGAGAGAGAGAGAGAGAGAGAAGAAGGAAGGAACCCUAUACUUACCCGACUCCAUUUCAAGUGAAGGCGAGGGGAGGUCCCUCGCAGUUGGUAGUGACCGACUCCCUGUGUCUGCAGCCACCUGUAGGAAAAGGAGAGGAAAGAGAUACAUGUGAGAUAGAGGAACAUUGUUACCACCACCCCCCCAGAACACGCACGGAGGGAAAACCCCACAAGGAGAAAGAUCGGAAAGCUGUGAAGGAGGUGCUGCCCGGCCUUCGCAGAGUCAGCGUGCCUCACAUCACCCUGACCUCAGACGCUCGUAGGCGGCCGAGGAGUACUGCGAGCCAGCACCCGUCUCGAUGCAGCUUCACGGACCGCGUUCAGGCGAACGGAGACGCCAUCGCCCAGCAUGAAAACGGUAAGACUCCGCUUGUCAUUGUAACCUGCACUACUUGCCACAUGUACAGUUUAGCUUCUUCCGUCAGCAUAGAGGGGUUUACAUGUGCUAAGUGUAUUGAAGUAGUAAGGCUGACGGAGAAGGUUGCUGAACUAGAAGCGCGCAUCCGAACGCUAGUUGAGGACAGUAAGACCGCUAAUGUUAAUGUUACAAACACUGUUUCGGGUGCGCCUAGUGUUAAGCGUAAUACACAUGGCUCGGUUCCGACUUCAGAGUCAAGGCGGCUGACUAACUGGGUGACUGUCAGGCGGCAUAGUCACAUUCGGCACCCAAAUCACGCUCCUGUUUUAAUAUCAAACAGAUUUUCUCCACUCAGCAAUACACCGGCUGAGACGUCUGUUAAAAGUGCCCUGUUUAUUGGAGAUUCUAUACUCAGGAACGUUGACAUUGAGGCACCAGCUACCAUAGUCGACUGUAUACCGGGAGCCAGAGCGUCUGACAUUAGAUCCAAAUUAAAAGUGCUGGCUAAUGCUAAAUGUAAGUUUUCUAAGAUUGUUAUUCACGCCGGCACGAAUGACACCAGACUCCGCCAGUCGGAGAUCACCAAAGAUACUAUUAAAGAGGUGUGUGAAAUUGCAAAAACAAUGUCAGACAAUGUAAUUUGCUCUGGUCCCCUCCCCGCCUACCGGGGGGAUGAAACUUACAGUAGAUUAGUGUCUCUUCAUGGCUGGAUGUCAAAGUGAUGCCCUAAGCAUAACGUAGGGUUUAUAGACAAUUGGAAGCAUUUCCGGGGAAGACCUGACCUGCUAAAGAGAGAUGGCCUCCAUCCGUCUCCGGAAGGUAGUGCUAUACUCUCUAGAAAUCUGACCAAUAGUCUUACUUUUGAUAUUGUCUGACUAUCCAGGGCCCAGGUCAGGAAACAGACAGAUCGGCUUACCCAUCAGUCUGUUAGCUGCCUUGACAUGUCAAGAUCACAUAUAUCCCAGCACAUAGAGCCUUUUUUACCAGAGUACCAACACAUCUCGACUGUGUCUGUUCCUCGAACAAAUAAAUACAGAGCACCGUUUACCUCGUCUCGUACAAAUCUUAUUAACAUAAAAUUAGAACACAAUACAUUAAAAGAUGAAACUCAAAUGUUAAAAUUCGGCCUUCUUAACAUUAGAUCGCUUACCAAUAAAGAACCUAUUAUCAAUGAAAUAAUUACUGACCAAAACUUAGAUGCACUCUGUUUAACAGAGACCUGGCUUAAAGCAGACGAUUACAUCAGUUUAAACGAAUCCACCCCACAAGACUAUUAUUAUAAACACGUUCCUCGUCUAAAAUGGAGAGGGGGUGGUGUAGCUACAAUAUACAACAAAAUGUUCAAAGUAAACCAUAAAUCAGAACUAAAAUUUAAUUUGUUUGAAAUAAUACUGUUAAACAUGGAAAUAACUGAUCGUAACAACAAACAGCUUUCGUUCAUUUUAGCUACCAUAUAUAGGCCUCCGGGCCACCACACAGAUUUUCUUAAAGAAAUAGCAGACUUCCUAUCUGAGCUUACAGUCACUGUAGACAAAGCUCUUAUCGUUGGUGAUUUUAACAUCCAUGUGGAUAACUCAAAAGAUGCAUUAGGACGUGCGUUUAUGGAUGUUCUAAAUUCUCUCGGUAUUAAACAAAACGUGUCUGGACCCACGCAUACUCGUAAGCACACAUUAGACUUAAUUCUGUCACUCGGACUCAAUAUUAAUGACAUCGAAAUAUCACCCCAGAGCGAUGCCGUUUCAGACCAUUGCCUUGUGUCAUACACAAUACUUCUAGAUAGGACCGUUCAGUCUACAACAUGCUACAGAUUCGCCAGAACAAUAAUUUCCACCACUAAAGAUAGCUUUAUUAGCACUCUUCCAGACCUGUCUCAAAUGAAACAUGUAGCAGAUAACCGUGAAGAUCUGGAUAUUAUAAUAGAAAACCUGAACAACGUUUGCUCUAGCACGAUGGAUGCCGUUGCUCCCAUACGAAAAAAGAGAAUCAAAGAAAAAACGCCAGCUCCAUGGUAUGACCAUCAUACUGCAGCCCUUAAAAAAGUAGCUAGAAAAAUGGAAAGAAACAACCGAAACACAAAGUUAGAGGUAUGGCGUUCAGCAUGGAAAGAGAGUGUUCAACACUACAGACAGGCUAUUAAAACCGCCAGAUCUACCUAUCUCAGUACGCUUAUUAAAGAAAAUCAUAACAACCCUCGUUUCCUCUUUAGCACAGUUGCGAAACUGACUAGAAACAAAGAACAAACAGAAACCAAUAGUAAAUUCCAACACAAUAGUAACGAUUACAUGAACUUCUUUACUAACAAAAUUAUUUCUAUUAGGGAAAACAUAGAAACUACGCAAGCAGCCACCACUCUACCCAAUAGUACAUUGACCACUAGAUUAUCAUACGAACAUCUUGAGUCAUUUAAACCUACUACAAUAGAAGAGCUCUCUAAAUUAGUAACGUCAUCUAAAUCAUCGUCCUGUAUAUUAGACCCCAUUCCCACAAAAUUACUAAAAGAGGUAUUUCAUGUAGUGUCCGACACGGUACUAAAUAUCUUUAACUCAUCGCUAGAAUUAGGAUACGUUCCAACAGCUUUCAAACUAGCAGUUAUUAGACCGCUCAUUAAAAAACCAAACCUUGACCAGGGAGAUCUUAAUAACUUUAGACCAAUCUCAAAUCUACCGUUUUUUUUCUAAAAUAUUAGAAAAAGUAGUGGCCAGCCAGCUACGCACAUUCAUAGCGAAUAAUAAUACAUAUGAAAAGUUCCAAUCAGGAUUCAGGCCCCACCAUAGCACAGAAACAGCGCUGCUUAGAGUUACAAAUUACCUCCUAUUAACAUCCGAUCGUGGUGAAAUCUCAAUCCUUAUAUUACUAGACCUUAGUGCAGCAUUUGACACAAUAGACCACAGAAUCCUACUCAAUAGACUAGAAAACUAUGUUGGCAUCAGUGGUCAGGCGUUAGCCUGGUUUAGAUCGUAUCUAACCAAUUGAUAUCACUUUGUUUAUGUAAAUGAGGAAGAGUCCUAUCACUCCCCCGUUAAAUACGGCGUACCUCAGGGAUCAGUUCUAGGCCCUAUCCUAUUCUCGUUAUAUAUGUUACCUCUAGGAGACAUUAUCAGGAAACAUAACAUAAGUUUUCACGGCUAUGCGGAUGAUACCCAGCUUUACAUCUCAUCACAUCCUAGCGAAACCCACCAGUUUGCUAAGCUAACAGACUGCAUUAGUGAUAUUAGGGACUGGAUGGCACAUAACUUUCUUAUGCUAAACUCCAAUAAGACAGAGAUACUUAUUAUUGAACCAAAUCGCUCCAAACAUAAUAUGUCAGAUUACAAGUUGCCCAUAGAUGGCUGCACGGUGGUGCCAUCUUCCACGGUUAAGAAUUUAGGCGUAAUGUUUGACAGCAAUCUAUCUUUCGAUAGUCAUAUCUCCAACGUCUGCCGCACAGCAUUCUUCCAUCUUAGAAAUAUCUCAAAAAUACGCCAUAUGCUGUCUGCAUCAGAUGCAGAAAAGCUUAUCCAUGCUUUAAUGACCUCUAGAAUAGACUAUUGUAACUCGUUACUCGGGGGAUGCCAUGCAAAUCAGGUAAACAAGCUUCAGCUAGUUCAAAAUGCCGCCGCAAGAGUGCUUACUCGAUCUAAAAAGUAUGACCACAUUAGUCCAAUUCUGGCAUCUUUACACUGGCUACCAGUUAAAUAUCGCAUACAAUUUAAAAUAUUACUAAUCACCUACAAAGCCUUAAAUGGCCUAGCGCCCUAGUAUAUUAAAGAACUACUAUCAGAAUACAAUCCACCACGUAAACUGCGAUCACAAAAUUCUGGUUACUUAAUUAUCCCUAGAAUAUCAAAAGUGUCUAAAGGUGGUAGAUCCUUUUCCUACUUAGCCCCUAAGCUCUGGAAUGAUUUACCAAAUAAUGUUCGAGUAUCAGACACAGUCGAACAAUUUAAAUCUAAACUUAAGACAUUCUUCUUUAACAAAGCAUUCACAUAGAAUGUCCAGUAAAUGUACUUUUCCCGCAGUAGUUAUUUUGUCUAGAGGCACUCACAUACCUCAUAUGGGUAAUUUACUCUUGCCGCAAUAGUUAGCCUGUCUGGAACCGAGCUGAAUUAAACCACUAUAAUGUAUGACACUUGCAUUACAUGUGAACGGCCCCUACGCUAAUAGAAUUCUGUUUUUGUCUCCCUGUCUCGUCCUCGACCCUGAGGACAAUGAGACAAACAGACCCAGUUCCUGUUGCUGUGAAGGUCAUCACACCACUGAUCUACUGGCUGUCCUUCAACGUGACGCCCAACCGAUGCGCGACCAACGGCCACCGGCUGAACCAGUUUAAUCUGCUUACACGCUUCCUAUCCCUACCGUGUCUAUAUAUUAUAAAUAUAAAUAUAAAUUUCUCCCUAGGGAUUUUUGUCCUUCUAGGAGUUUUUCCCACCGGGUUUUCUCCUAGGGGGGUUUUUUAGUCCCAGGGAGAGUCAGCCAACUUUGGCUUAACUUAGCACUUUACUGUAUACGUUACAUUAUUAAUAUGCUCGCUUACACGGUUUUUUAUCCUUAGCCGCUAUAUUCUACUUCUUAUACUAUGUAUUGAUUUUCAAUGUUCUCCUCUUCAUCUGCUCAUGUAAAGCUGCUUUGCAACAAUUAACAAUUGUGAAAAGCGCUAUAUAAAUAAAAUUGAAUUGAAAAAUUGAA
Non-coding RNA from Paramisgurnus dabryanus, 8967 nucleotides. NCBI's taxonomy places the organism in Eukaryota, Metazoa, Chordata, Actinopteri, Cypriniformes, Cobitidae. The record is from RefSeq and is a predicted model, not a curated record.